GACGAACGCUGGCGGCGUGCUUAACACAUGCAAGUCGAACGGGUCUGCCUUGUUUUUUGCGGGGUGGGUCAGUGGCGAACGGGUGAGUAACACGUGAGUAACCUGCCCCUCACUUCUGGAUAACCGCUUGAAAGGGUGGCUAAUACGGGGUGUUCUGGCUGUGCCGCAUGGUGUGGCUGGGAAAGAUUCACUUUUGUGGUGUUUUGGUGGGGGAUGGGCUCGCGGCCUAUCAGCUUGUUGGUGGGGUGAUGGCCUGCCAAGGCUUUGACGGGUAGCCGGCCUGAGAGGGUGGGCGGUCACACUGGGACUGAGAUACGGCCCAGACUCCUGCGGGAGGCAGCAGUGGGGGGUAUUGCACAAUGGGCGGAAGCCUGAUGCAGCGACGUCGCGUGAGGGAUGGAGGCCUUCGGGUUGUGAACCUCUUUCGCCGGUGAAGAAGGUCCUGCUCCUUGUGGUGGGGUUGACGGUAGCCGGGUUAUGAAGCGCCGGCUAACUACGUGCCAGCAGCCGCGGUAAUACGUAGGGCGCGAGCGUUGUCCGGAAUUAUUGGGCGUAAAGGGCUUGUAGGCGGCUGGUCGCGUCUGCCGUGAAAUCCUCUGGCUCAGCUGGGGGCGUGCGGUGGGUACGGGCUGGCUUGAGUGCGGUAGGGGAGGCUGGAACUCCUGGUGUAGCGGUGGAAUGCGCAGACAUCAGGAGGAACACCGGUGGCGAAGGCGGGUCUCUGGGCCGUUACUGACGCUGAGGAGCGAAAGCGUGGGGAGCGAACAGG
Molecule: ribosomal RNA, 769 nt
Filed under: uncultured Actinomyces sp.
Lineage: Bacteria; Bacillati; Actinomycetota; Actinomycetes; Actinomycetales; Actinomycetaceae
Description: bacterial SSU rRNA
Rfam family: Bacterial small subunit ribosomal RNA
Source: RNAcentral